AAAAAUAACUGUAACACGUAAAUUUAUCAAUAUCUAACUUUGAAUUUUCAUCGGUCGAAGAUUCUGUAAAAAUGAUAGUAUCAUUUAGUUUAUUUUCGGUAAGUCUAUUGCAGUUCCAUACACAAAUUUCCAUAUUUGUUGGGCCAUCCUCCACUAAAUCUUAGUCAACCUUUUCAGGUUUUCCGUCAAUAAACAGAGUAUCGUAAGAUAUCCAGGCUUUCUGAUGCCGCAUCCUUAGUUUUCUUUAGUAAUGGUAUCAAUCGACGGCAUUUGUUCAUAACCUCAUCUUACUUUUCCAAAUUAUCUAACGUUUGCAAUUUCAAUUCAACAUUUUCGAUUUUAUCUUCAGCUACAACAAAAGAACAGAUAAAAAAGCGGAAGUAUGAAAAACCGAAAAAACAAAACAAAGGCAAAUCAACUCUAGAGACAAAAAAACCAUCAACGACGACUGUAUGUUAUGAGAACAAACCGUCAGAAGAAGAAAAGGACAACCCAAAUUGCAUUGCACCAAUACGAAAUAAUGAAAUCAAAUCAAACGACUCGCAAGAUGACAGUACUUUGGAUAACGUUGACCUAAACAGACUUUUCCGAGAAGAAGGUAAAACGUCACCAAAAUUACAUGAUGAAUGCAGAAAAAUUUGUAAAGUAAUAAAGAGUAAAUCAGAACACAUUGCUCAUGUCGAAGCAGCUUAUAGAAAAGAAAAUGACGAAACAGUUAUAUUUCUUGUAUUU
Long non-coding RNA from Ruditapes philippinarum (Manila clam), 732 nucleotides. RefSeq lists it as uncharacterized. The transcript has 3 exons. NCBI's taxonomy places the organism in Eukaryota, Metazoa, Mollusca, Bivalvia, Venerida, Veneridae. The record is from RefSeq and is a predicted model, not a curated record.